RNAcentral lists this ribosomal RNA (370 nucleotides) under uncultured organism. RNAcentral's name for it is "bacterial SSU rRNA". It matches the Rfam family "Bacterial small subunit ribosomal RNA", at positions 526 to 896 of the family's 1533-position model. The record is from RNAcentral.
CGUAGGGUGCGAGCGUUAAUCGGAAUUACUGGGCGUAAAGCGUGCGCAGGCGGUUUUGUAAGACAGAUGUGAAAUCCCCGGGCUCAACCUGGGACCUGCAUUUGUGACUGCAAGGCUAGAGUACGGUAGAGGGGGAUGGAAUUCCGCGUGUAGCAGUGAAAUGCGUAGAUAUGCGGAGGAACACCGAUGGCGAAGGCAAUCCCCUGGACCUGUACUGACGCUCAUGCACGAAAGCGUGGGGAGCAGACAGGAUUAGAUACCCUGGUAGUCCACGCCCUAAACGAUGUCAACUGGUUGUUGGGUCUUCACUGACUCAGUAACGAAGCUAACGCGUGAAGUUGACCGCCUGGGGAGUACGGCCGCAAGGUUG